GCUAGGAUUCUUUUACUAAAAGCUCGUUUGUCUGCGCUGCUUCCUUGUUGCUAAAGCCCUAUCCAUGGCUUCUUCAUUUGUUGCAGUAUCAAAACCUUUCUUCUUUAGCAAAACUACUUCUCCUUCUCUCUCUCACCAGAGACUUGUAGGAUUGAGGAAAAAUUCUCUCAGAAUCAAUGCAAUUGCAAAAAAAUGGGAACCCACUAAGGUUGUUCCCCAAGUGGAUAGAGUCCUUAUUCGUCUUGAAGAAUUAUCUGAGAAAUCAACUGGUGGAGUUUUGUUGCCUAAAUCAGCUGUGAAAUUUGAGAGGUACCUAAUGGGAGAGGUACUAUAUGUUGGUAACGAGGUUGGGGAAGUGGAAGCUGGAAAGAAGGUUCUUUUCUCAGACAU
This 390-nucleotide unclassified non-coding RNA is filed under the name Hevea brasiliensis (rubber tree). The record is from RNAcentral. Lineage: Eukaryota; Viridiplantae; Streptophyta; Magnoliopsida; Malpighiales; Euphorbiaceae.